AAGAAGUUAAUUUAAAAAAAAAUAUUUAUUUGUCAAAUAAAAUUUGCAUAAGUUAAAAUUGUACUUCUUG
Molecule: transfer RNA, 70 nt
Filed under: Pseudosymplanella nigrifasciata
Lineage: Eukaryota; Metazoa; Arthropoda; Insecta; Hemiptera; Caliscelidae
Description: tRNA-Asp
Source: RNAcentral